CCUACGGGUGGCAGCAGUAGGGAAUCUUCCACAAUGGGCGAAAGCCUGAUGCAGCAACGCCGCGUGGGUGAAGAAGGUCUUCGGAUCGUAAAACCCUGUUGUUAGAGAAGAAAGUGCGUGAGAGUAACUGUUCACGUUUCGACGGUAUCUAACCAGAAAGCCACGGCUAACUACGUGCCAGCAGCCGCGGUAAUACGUAGGUGGCAAGCGUUAUCCGGAUUUAUUGGGCGUAAAGGGAACGCAGGCGGUCUUUUAAGUCUGAUGUGAAAGCCUUCGGCUUAACCGGAGUAGGGCAUUGGAAACUGGGAGACUUGAGUGCAGAAGAGGAGAGUGGAAGUCCAUGUGUAGCGGUGAAAUGCGUAGAUAUAUGGAGGAACACCAGUGGCGAAAGCGACUCUCUGGGCUGUAACUGACGCUGAGGUUCGAAAGCGUGGGUAGCAAACAGGAUUAGAUACCCUUGUAGUC
RNAcentral lists this ribosomal RNA (465 nucleotides) under uncultured bacterium. RNAcentral describes it as "partial 16S ribosomal RNA". It matches the Rfam family "Bacterial small subunit ribosomal RNA", at positions 338 to 795 of the family's 1533-position model. The record is from RNAcentral.